This 1314-nucleotide unclassified non-coding RNA is filed under the name Hevea brasiliensis (rubber tree). The record is from RNAcentral. Lineage: Eukaryota; Viridiplantae; Streptophyta; Magnoliopsida; Malpighiales; Euphorbiaceae.
UAUUGGCUUGUCAGUACUAGAGAUUGGAGGCUGCUCAUUGGUUUGAAAGCCUGUGGAUACAUGCGACACAGUUGGCGUUUUUGUGCCAACAGUUAAACAAGUUAAAAUCAUCAUCGUUCGAAUAUUGUUUGAUCGAAAAUUUCUUGUUUUCUAAUGCAUCGAGUAAAGGAAAAUUUUAGUUUUUCUUUUGUCUAUAUCCCAGCGCGCUGGAGUUGACGAAAAAUUAUGCCUGCUUUCUGAUAAACGCUAUCCGUAGCUGGUUUUCAAAGCUUCCACAAGUUCUCUUGUCCAAAUUCCAGGGGUGAUUGGGCAACUUGAAGUUUAUAUAAAAUAUAUAAAACAGGCAAUUAGCCUAUGGAUGAGAAGAUUUUCAGGUGCUUAGAAUGAAGAAGAUGAAUUGGGGUGUAAAUUUACCCUGGAGCAGAUUCUGAAAUUGCAGAUACUUCUCCAAUCGAGAAACCAUCCUUUGAUGUUAUCCGGCGAUGUAUUCUAAUUUAUAUAUGUUAUUCCCAGAGCUUCGACGGCACACUGAUUUAUUCUAAUGCAUGGCGAUCACAAGUUAAUGAGUAUGAUAGUCUCAAGACAUCAUCUUUUGUGUAGAAAGAACAGAGCAAGUGCAAGACCAAAUCAUGAAAGGGGGCCUUUGAAGAUGUUGCGCUAUUACUGGGUUCUUGAAGAUCUUUGUUUAGGGACCACCUUGCACUUCAGAAUAUCAACUCAUUUGAAGGUUGGCAUGUGGUGCAAACAAGACAUGCUGUGUUAUCCCGUUGGAUUUUGUUGGUGUUGUUAGGUACACCAAAUUCCCCAUGUCAAGAUUUCUUUUCAUCUCCAUUCCCCUUCCUCUCAAUGUGUCUCAUCAAUUAAAGUCACUAAUGCCUUUCCCACCCCCACCCCCAUCUAAAAUAGGUUAUUUAGUUUAAUUUAUUCAACGUUCUGAGUUAGGUUGAAAAUUAGAUUGAAACCAAAACUUUGGGACUAAAGCUCAACCUCCUACUCGAAUCUUGAACAGAACCAAAAUCAAUAGUUUGACUUAAUAGUCUGAUUUGGUUUAAUUCAAUUUUUUUUAAUCUAAAAAAAAGGAAAAGAACCAAAAUAAGUUGACUUAAGGUAGCUCAUGGUCAGAUCCGGUCUGAUUCAAUGAUGAUUUUGAUUUCAAAUUGAGUCUUUUUCAUUUUUAGUUUUAGGUAAUUCAAUCUGAUUUAAUUCACAUAACUUCUUGUGUUUGCCAAAUGACCCCUUUUUAAAACCUGAUUCAAAUAGGAUUGAACAGCUAGACCAAAUUGCCAAUUAUAAUUUAUAAAAUUAAGAUUACUG